AACUCUUGGCGACAGAUAUCUUGACUUGCAUCGAUGAAGAACGCAGCAAAAUGCGAUGCUUGGUGUAAAUUAUAGAAUACUGUGAACCAUCGAGUCUUUGAAUGCAAGUUGUGCCCUAAGCCAUUAGGCCAAGGGCAUGUAUGCCUAGGUAUGA
Molecule: ribosomal RNA, 154 nt
Organism: Gossypium arboreum
Lineage: Eukaryota; Viridiplantae; Streptophyta; Magnoliopsida; Malvales; Malvaceae
Product: 5.8S ribosomal RNA
Exons: 1
Source: RefSeq, a predicted model, not a curated record